Molecule: non-coding RNA, 123 nt
Filed under: Microcebus murinus (gray mouse lemur)
Lineage: Eukaryota; Metazoa; Chordata; Mammalia; Primates; Cheirogaleidae
Description: U4atac minor spliceosomal RNA (ENSMICG00000028895.2)
Rfam family: U4atac minor spliceosomal RNA
About the family: U4atac is an essential component of the minor U12-type spliceosome complex which is required for removal of the rarer class of eukaryotic introns (AT-AC, U12-type). These interacting stem loops have been shown to be required for in vivo splicing. U4atac also contains an 3' Sm protein binding site which has been shown to be essential for splicing activity.
Source: Rfam by way of RNAcentral
ACCAUCCUUUUCUUGGAGUUGCACCACUGUCCAAUGAGCACGUAGUGAAGGCAGUAUUGCUAAUGCUUACUCAACACGCCUGCAACUAGAACUUUGCUUUAUCUUGGUAUAAUUUUUGGAAAA